GAGUGCUGCGCUUCCAGGAGAGGCAGGAAACCGGCGAGGGGCAUCCCGGGAGCGAGAUCGGCCUGGUGGGCUCCCCCGGUGCGGCGGGAAGGCGACCCCGGGAGGUGAAUGGCAAGAAUCUAGACGUUUUAUGGAUCCCCGUGUCAUAUCAUCAGAAACAAGUUGGUAUGAAGUGUGGAAAGAGAUACUUGACUAUGAAAUGGAAUAAGAAAUAUGAAUAAAACCAUACAAAGGAGAGGGAUAAUCCUGUAGUUCUCAGGGAUUUGGAAAGCACAACACUUAAUUACAGAAGAUGACAAACGGAAGGAAAGGAGAACGAAAUUGGAAAGAAAUACAACAUUUAGAAUCUACAAGGACUGAAGGAUUGUACAUGAUGUUAGAAGAACAUCCAUAUAGACGCAAGGUUUCCUUGACUUCAAAGAACCCACAUUGUGGAGAACCCAGAUGAAUACAUGUCAGGUGGAAAGGGCCUCAGACAGAGCAGAAGUCAUUGCGAACAUCAAGAAUCCCACAUUCCAUAUAGAUGCAUGGAAAGUGGCAAAGCUUACAGUAUGUGCACAGACCUUAAUACACAUCAGAGAAUACAUGUGGAGGAGAAGCCAUUUAAAUGCAUGCAGUGUGGAAAGAGCUUUAUAACAAAUGUGAUCUUACUGUACAUAUAAGAACACACACUGGGGAGAGGUCAUAUAAAUGCACAGAAUGUGAAAAGGGCACUGGAGCAACUGGAGGUCUUGCUAGACAUCAGGGACUGCAUCCUGGGGAUAGGCCAUGUAAAGGCAUGGAAUGUGGAAAGAGCUUUCGUGAAACUGGUGGUCUUAAAAACAUCAAAGAAUCCACACUGGGGACAGGCUGUAUAAAUGCAUGGAAUGUGGGAAGAACGUCAAAGAGAAGAAUCAUCUUGGUGUACAUGCUUGAACACACACUGGGGAGAGGCCAUACGUAUGCAUGGAGUGUGGAAAGAGCUUCUGUGUGACUGGAGGUCUUACAAAACAUCAAAGAAUCCACACCGGGGAGAGGCCAUAUCAAUGCAUGGAAUGUGGGAAGAGCUUCAACAGGAAACAUCACCUUGUUCUACAUGCAAGAAUGCACAGAGCAGACAGGCCGUAUACAUCCGUGGAAUGUAGAAAAAGCUUCAGUUUCCGGUGGAAAUCUUACUCAGCCUCAAAGAAGCCACACUGGGGAGAGGCCCUUCAAAUGCAUGGAAUGCGGAAAAAGCUUCAGUCAAGGUAUAAAUCUUACCAUCAAAGAACCCACACUGGGGAGAGGCCAUUCCAAUGCAUGGAAUGUGGAAGACCUUCCAUCAACUUGCAGGUCUUAUUUACCAUCAAAGGUUUUACUUACCAUUUCUGGGGAAAACCAUAUAAAUGCAUGGAAUGUGAUAAGAGCUUCUCUUGCCAUGGAAGCAUUACUAAGCAUCAAAGAUCCCACAUUGGGUUGUCAAGUUGAACUGCAGGAAGAUGGGCUUCAGAAGCAGGUUCUGUCCCAUUUCUCCACUGAACUACACUGAAUUCAGCAAACCACUGAUUCAGCACGGAAGCACAAGGCAGGCGUCUGGAAAUCCGACAACGUGGGAAAUGUGCAGGAUGUAGCAAAAAGCCCAACAAGUCCAAGAUUCCCUUUGCAGAGUUUGGCACCUCAGGCAAAUUUUCCACUUUUGCGCCCCGGUGUCCCUACUGUACAUUUAGAAACUUGACUUUCUCCAAGAGACUUUAUGAUUAAUCUUUAAUUAUGUGACUCUUUAUCACUAUUUCACCCCACCUUGAUCACUUCACGACUUGGACACAAACAAGCCUGGUCUCUCAAUCGGAGCCUCUUAGUUAUUCCGCAGUUUCGCAUCCAGGUUUUCCUGCACCAUUCCUCCGAAGGUUGUUCACUUCCGGUGUGUAGCGACAUUGAGAGAGACUGCAGCAUUUCUGAACGAUUCUGCUCUUCUGGAUGUCCAGAAGGCCAGCCUCCGUUUCUUCCUUUCCUAUGUGUCCCUUCCAGAUUGCUGAAGGGCUUUCCAGGCUGAAAAUAGAGGUGCUUCUCAUACUGGAAGAGGAGCGAGUUAAUGGUGAGACUGGAAUUUCCUGGACAUGCAAUUGUGUUGCCUUGGAGGUUAUGGAAGCAGAGUUGAGAUCUAUGUAGGCUGCAGGAUGAGGCCCGUUCGGGUCUCUCUGUAUUGCAUUUUCAGCCCCCCUGCAGAUUCAGCCUUCUGGAAUUCCCGGAUGCAGGGCCCACAUCUUGAGCUUGUGCUCCCGCUUCCCGCUUCCCCAAGCUUUGAUGGUUUCCCAGCUUUUCCCAUUUCCAAAGGGAACUGUGUAACUGGCAAGAAGAGGCUUCGGGUGCCUCUUGUGUUCAUUUUGAGCAUUUGGGCUCCCUCUGACCUGUUGCAUCUUGCCUGCUGCUUUCGCUUUCGUGUUCCCCUGCCACCUGGAGGUGGCUUCUCGGCGCUCAUCCGUGUCGGAAAGAGCUACGAUCAGCCUCUAAUCCUUGCUGCCUGCACCGAUCCUGGAAAAGGGCUGUGAAAGUGUGGAUCUGGUACACUGUUCAAAUCAAAGCACGGGGACAUGCAGAGCAGAGGUGACUGGCAAGACUCUAGAAGUUAUAUUGAUCCCCGUGUCAUGUCAUCAGGAAGAAGUCAGCAUGAAGUGUGAAAGGAGAUUCUUGACUAUGAAAAGGGAUAAAGAAAGAUGAUGAAAACCAUACAAAAGAGAGGCAUAAUCCUGUAAUUCUUGGGGUUUUGGAGACCUCAACACUAAAUUCAGCAGUUCACAAAAGAAAGAAAAAGAGAAGGAAAUGGGAAAGAAAUGCAACAUUCAGAAUCUACAAGAACUGAGUGAAUGGACAGAAUCUUAAGAGAGCAUCCAGGCAGACAUGAUGAAUCCUUGACGUAAAGAAUCCAUGCUGAGGAGAAACCAGAUGAAGAUGUAUGAUGUGAAAGAAGCCUCUGAGAAAAAAGUCUGAGUGAGUAUCAAGGAUCCAACCAUUGGGACCCCAGAUAAGAUCAUGGAAGUUGGACAGAGCUUCAGUGAAAGUCGCCGUCUUCCUAAAGAUGAAACCGUCCACACUGGAGAGCAGCCAUAUACAUGCAUGGGAAGUGGAAAAGGCUUCGGUAUAUGUGCAGACCUUGAAAGACAGGAGGGAACACAUGUGGAAGAGAAGCCAUUUAAAUGCAUGGAAUGUGGGAAAAGCUUUACGAAGAAAGUUAAACUUAUUAUACAUGCAAGAACCCACACUGGGAACAGGCCUUAUAAAUGCAUGGAAUGUGGGAAAAGCUUUAAACAUAAUUCUGACCUUAUAGUACAUACAAGAACUCACACUGGGGAGAGGCCAUAUAGAUGCAUGGAAUAUGGGAAGAGCUUCAGUGGCACUGGAGGUCUUACUAGACAUCAAAGAACCCACACUGGGGAGAGGCCUUUUGAAUGCAUGGAAUGUGGGAAGAGCUUCAAACAGAAAUAUCAUCUUAUUGUACAUGCAAGAACCCACACUGAGGAGAGGCCCUUUAAAUGCAUAGACUGUGGGAAGUGCUUUAAACGGAAAGCUCAUCUUAUUACGCAUGCAAGAACCCACACUGGAGCCAGGCCAUAUAAAUGCAUGGAAUGUGGGAAGAGCUUCAGUGAGAGUGGAACCCUUGCUAGACAUCAAAGGCUACAUACUGGAGAGAGGCCCUAUAAAUGCAUAGAAUGUGGGAAGAGCUUCAUUGAAACUAGAAGUCUUAGUAGACAUCAAAGAACCCACACUGGGGAGAGGCCCUAUGAAUGCAUGGAAUGUGGCAAUAGGUUCAAAGAGAAAUCUGAUCUGACUGCACAUAAACGAACGCACACUGAAGAGAAGCCAUUUCAAUGCAUGGAGUGUGGAAAGUGCUUUAAAAGGAAUGCUCAUCUUAUUACACAUGGAAGAACGCACACUGGGGAGAGGCCAUAUAAAUGCAUGGAAUGCGGAAAGAGCUUCAGUGAGAGUGGAACUCUAGCUAGACAUCAAAGGUUGCAUACUGGGGAGAGGCCCCAUAAAUGCAUAGAAUGUGGGAAGAGCUUCAUUGAGACAAGCAGUCUUGCUAGACAUCAAAGAACCCACUUCGGGGACUUGCCCUACGAAUGCAUGGAAUGUCAAAACAGGUUCGAAAAGAAGUCUGAUCUUACCAUACAUGAACAAAGACAAGCUGAGGAGAAGCCCUAUAAAUGCAUGGAAUGUGGGAAGUGCUUUAAAGGGAAUGCUCAUUUAAUGAUACGUGCAAGAACCAGCACUGGGGAGAAGCCAUAUAAAUGCAUAGAGUGUGGGAGGAGCUUUAAACGGAAGGCUCAUCUUAUUAUACAUACAAGAACCCACUCUGGUGACAGGCCAUAUAAAUGCAUGGAAUGUGGAAAAAGCUUCAGUCAGAGUGGAAGUCUCACUCAGCAUCAAAGAACCCACACGGGGGAGAGACCAUAUCAAUGCAUGGAAUGUGGGAAGAGCUUCAGUCAGAGUGGAAGUCUCACACAGCAUCAAAGAACCCACACUGGAGAGAGGCCGUAUCAAUGCAUAGAAUGUGGCAAGAGUUUCAGACAGAAAUCUUAUCUUAUUGUACAUGCAAAAACCCACAUUGAUGAAAAGCUCUAUAUAUGCAUGGAAUGUGGGAAGAGCUUUAAACGAAAACAUCAUCUUACUAUACAUGCAAGAAUGCACACUGGAGAUGGGCCAUAUAUGCAUGGAAUGUGGAAAAAGCUUCAGUUUCCCUGGAAGUCUUCUUAACCAUCAGAGAAACCACACUGGGAAAAGGCCAUUCAAAUCCAUGGAAUAUGGAAAGAGCUUCAGUCAGAGUGGAAGUCUCACUCAACAUCAAAGAACCCACAUUGAGGAGAAGCCAUAUAGGUGCAUGGAUUGUGGAAAGAACUUACGUCAGUAUCUUACCAAGCAUGGAAAAAAACACUAGUCUUUCAAAUGAAUGGAACAUGGAAAGAGCUUCAGACUUAAUCAAUGUUGUGCUAACCAUCGUGGAACCCUCAUUCAAGAAAAGCCAUUUGAAUGCAUAGAAUGUGGCAGGAGUUUCAGAGAUGGGAGAACCUAAGUCAAUACCAAAGCACUCAUAUGGAGUAAGAAUGGCUUAAAUUCAGAGAGAGCACUUCAGCAAUACUGGGCACAUAUUCUCCUCCACACGAAAGGGCUCACAAAGGAAGAAAACCUGGGAUCCUUAGAUUUUUGCAGAGUUUCAACUAUGCUGGAGCAUGUCCUGCCCUCAUUGGUGAUGCGACGAGCUCUGGGGUCAAUAGACAGAAAAAUCAUCAGGUGAAUGCAAAAUUGGCUGCUAAAUCGAAGACCCGGAGUGCUCAUCAAGGGCACCUUCUCAUCCUGCAGGAAGCGGCAAGUGGGGUGCCACAGGGUUCAGUCCUUGGUCCAGUGCUCCUCAACAUCUUCAUUAAUUAUUUGAUGAGGGAGUCCAAGGAUUGAUAAUCUGAUUUGAGGAUGAUACAAAGCUGGGCGGAAUAGCGAACACCCUGGAAGACUGAGGGAAGAUCCAAGGCAAUCUUGAUAAACUUUAAUGCCAGGCUGAAAGCAACAGAAGGAAAUUCAAUAGGGAUCCAUUCCAGGUGCUUCAGCUAGGAAAGAGAAACCAAGUGCAUCAAUACAAGAUGGGGAAUAUGUGGCACAACACAACUGAAAAAGAAAGACCUUGGGGUAAUUGUGGACAACAGGCUGAAUAUGAGCCAACAAGGUGCCCUGCUGGACCUUGGACUGCCCUUGUGGAGCCUGGUCACAAAUCUCGUUCCCUGGACGAAUCAGGUCUGGAUCCGUUGGUGUUCUCGCAAGAGCCGACCCACUGGGAAAGUCAGUCAUGCUGGGAAUGAUCAGCGGAAAAGGGAGAAGUCAUGUAUUGGCUGGAGCACCCGCUGGCCGGACACCGUAAAGGAGGACGCUGGGAUGACCGUGACGGACUUGAAGGAGGCACUGUGGGACAGAGGGGCAUGGAGAGCGAUGAUUCUUGGUGCGGGUCAAGCACGACUGAGUGGUGAUGACGGCGGCUUCCGCUGAUGCUCGUGGGCCUUUUGGGGUCCCGCCGCCACUGCUGCGUUCUGAGUUGGGGUGCCUGCAGCCCUCAGGGAGCCUCAUUCCCUUCACUGCCGGUGAGCACCUGUGAAUGUCGCUGAAUCGCACUGAAUAACAUCAUGGCAUGGAGCCCUGCCGAAAGGGCCUUGAGGCUUCUGCCCCCUCUUUGCCAUGGGGAGAUUGUGCUGAUCGCAGAAGCCUCCAUCCAUCUUUGAUGGUUAAGGGGGGCACUUCUCCUUCCGCAGUACUUGCGCCCAUUCCAUUUCGAGCAGAUUUCUGCUCAUUCUGAUGCUUCUAUCUGCCAUUGUGGGAGCAUUUGAAAAAUCCCUGCUUUUUCCUUUUCAGGGCAUUUCAGUUUUCAAAGCGGUGGGGCAUUUGGACACAUAAACUCAGUUCUUGUUCUCGUCCUGAGUCCUGGGUGGUUGUGGGUUUGAAAAUGGACAGGGGAUUAGGAUCCUGACGUCCCACCAGCUGUAUUGAAUCUGUCCCCAUUUGUAAUCUCAGUUUUCCCUGGUUGUACGUAUGCUGGCUGAUAUGACUGUGAAGAAUUUGUCUGCCUUUCGGCAGCUGGCCAACAGGUGUGCCCACCUGGACAGGUGACAGUGAUGCCCAAGGGUCUCCAAAGAGUCCUUGUACUCUGCCACUUUCCCAGACCCAGAUGCAGACUUUUCCUUCUCAGAAUAACUCUUAACAGAACAUCUAUCCAGAGGCAAUUACCUUCUGGAUCACAAAUACCUUCAUACACAGAAACAGAGCGAGUCAGAAGGGGGUCUCCCAGGCCAUCUAGUCUGACCCCCGGCUCCACUCACAACAUGCCCACCAUGGGCAUGUCAACGAUCCAACAAAAUAUUCCAAUACUCCAUUGCAUUCCCCUCCCUUCAUUUUUGUGAAAUUUAUUAAAUGUCUCUGCACGGAUCUUCCUUCAAGGAGAAAGUUUCUCUGGGUCUAUUCUACAUUUAUCUGUGACUUCUUACCAUCUCCCGUUUGUCUAUUCCUGUCAAGAAAUAGCCCAGCAUACCUCCCAGAAUUGUUGUGGUUGUAGGGCACACGAUCCCCAGAGAGGUUCGCCUGGCACCGUUGU
Molecule: RNA transcript, 7084 nt
Organism: Varanus komodoensis (Komodo dragon)
Lineage: Eukaryota; Metazoa; Chordata; Lepidosauria; Squamata; Varanidae
Gene name: zinc finger protein 260-like
Exons: 4
Source: RefSeq, a predicted model, not a curated record